This is a non-coding RNA of Podarcis lilfordi (Lilford's wall lizard), 71 nucleotides long. The record is from the annotation of a GenBank genome assembly. NCBI's taxonomy places the organism in Eukaryota, Metazoa, Chordata, Lepidosauria, Squamata, Lacertidae.
GGGCUGUAGCUCAGUGACAGAGCGUCUGCCUUGCAUGCAGAAGGUCCCAGGUUCAAUCCCCGGCAGCAUCU